RNAcentral lists this ribosomal RNA (466 nucleotides) under uncultured bacterium. RNAcentral describes it as "partial 16S ribosomal RNA". It matches the Rfam family "Bacterial small subunit ribosomal RNA", at positions 28 to 523 of the family's 1533-position model. The record is from RNAcentral.
GAUGAACGCUGGCGGCGUGCCUAACACAUGCAAGUCGAGCGAACCCUUCGGGGUGAGCGGCGGACGGGUGAGUAACGCGUGGGUAACCUGCCCUGUACACACGGAUAACAUACCGAAAGGUAUGCUAAUACGAGAUAAUAUAUUUUAAUCGCAUGGUUAAGAUAUCAAAGCUCCGGCGGUACAGGAUGGACCCGCGUCUGAUUAGCUAGUUGGUGAGGUAAUGGCUUACCAAGGCGACGAUCAGUAGCCGACCUGAGAGGGUGAUCGGCCACACUGGAACUGAGACACGGUCCAGACUCCUACGGGAGGCAGCAGUGGGGAAUAUUGCACAAUGGGCGAAAGCCUGAUGCAGCAACGCCGCGUGAGCGAUGAAGGCCUUCGGGUCGUAAAGCUCUGUCCUCAAGGAAGAUAAUGACGGUACUUGAGGAGGAAGCCCCGGCUAACUACGUGCCAGCCGCCGCAGUAA